GGGUCAGUAGGUUGGUCGUGCCACCGGUACGUACUGGUCUCACUGAUUCCUCCUUCCUGAAGAACCGUAAUGCCAUUAAUUUGGUGUUGCGGGGAAACAGGACUGCUACUUUGAAAAAAUUAGAGUGUUUAAAGCAAGCUAACGCUUGAAUACAUUAGCAUGGAAUAAUGAAAUAGGACGAUCGAUCCUAUUUUGUUGGUUUCUAGGAUUGACGUA
This 216-nucleotide ribosomal RNA is filed under the name Glomeromycotina sp. Its description in RNAcentral is "partial small subunit ribosomal RNA". The stretch from base 40 to 216 matches the Rfam family "Eukaryotic small subunit ribosomal RNA", at positions 686 to 864 of the family's 1831-position model. The record is from RNAcentral. Lineage: Eukaryota; Fungi; Glomeromycota.